UCCUCGGUAGCUCAGCGGUAGAGUAGGUGGCUGUUAACCACUUGGUCGCGUGUUCGAAUCACGCCCGAGGAG
This 72-nucleotide transfer RNA is filed under the name Planctomycetota bacterium. Its description in RNAcentral is "Planctomycetes bacterium (subsurface metagenome) tRNA-Asn". It matches the Rfam family "tRNA". From Rfam's summary of the family: Transfer RNA (tRNA) molecules are approximately 80 nucleotides in length. Their secondary structure includes four short double-helical elements and three loops (D, anti-codon, and T loops). The record is from RNAcentral. Lineage: Bacteria; Pseudomonadati; Planctomycetota.